RNAcentral lists this unclassified non-coding RNA (223 nucleotides) under Hevea brasiliensis (rubber tree). Lineage: Eukaryota; Viridiplantae; Streptophyta; Magnoliopsida; Malpighiales; Euphorbiaceae. The record is from RNAcentral.
UUAUAUGUUGCAUGAGAUGCAAUUAGAAACAAAACAAAAAUUCAAAUGAAAUUGUAUUAAUGUCAUUCGGCCAUGAUGAGAUUAUGGUGGAAAAGACAUUUGGCCAAAAUUUGGAUUUGGCUAAACAAUUUUGUUUUGAUGAAUUUACUUGUUUAAUGGUGUUUAACAUGUAUGAGAUACAGUUUGGAACCAUUAGAAACCAAGAAAAAUCAUGAAUUUUGAG